RNAcentral lists this ribosomal RNA (1749 nucleotides) under Shigella sonnei. Its description in RNAcentral is "partial 23S ribosomal RNA". It matches the Rfam family "Bacterial large subunit ribosomal RNA", at positions 1198 to 2925 of the family's 2925-position model. Lineage: Bacteria; Pseudomonadati; Pseudomonadota; Gammaproteobacteria; Enterobacterales; Enterobacteriaceae. The record is from RNAcentral.
AGCUGCGGCAGCGACGCUUAUGCGUUGUUGGGUAGGGGAGCGUUCUGUAAGCCUGCGAAGGUGUGCUGUGAGGCAUGCUGGAGGUAUCAGAAGUGCGAAUGCUGACAUAAGUAACGAUAAAGCGGGUGAAAAGCCCGCUCGCCGGAAGACCAAGGGUUCCUGUCCAACGUUAAUCGGGGCAGGGUGAGUCGACCCCUAAGGCGAGGCCGAAAGGCGUAGUCGAUGGGAAACAGGUUAAUAUUCCUGUACUUGGUGUUACUGCGAAGGGGGGACGGAGAAGGCUAUGUUGGCCGGGCGACGGUUGUCCCGGUUUAAGCGUGUAGGCUGGUUUUCCAGGCAAAUCCGGAAAAUCAAGGCUGAGGCGUGAUGACGAGGCACUACGGUGCUGAAGCAACAAAUGCCCUGCUUCCAGGAAAAGCCUCUAAGCAUCAGGUAACAUCAAAUCGUACCCCAAACCGACACAGGUGGUCAGGUAGAGAAUACCAAGGCGCUUGAGAGAACUCGGGUGAAGGAACUAGGCAAAAUGGUGCCGUAACUUCGGGAGAAGGCACGCUGAUAUGUAGGUGAAGUCCCUUGCGGAUGGAGCUGAAAUCAGUCGAAGAUACCAGCUGGCUGCAACUGUUUAUUAAAAACACAGCACUGUGCAAACACGAAAGUGGACGUAUACGGUGUGACGCCUGCCCGGUGCCGGAAGGUUAAUUGAUGGGGUCAGCGCAAGCGAAGCUCUUGAUCGAAGCCCCGGUAAACGGCGGCCGUAACUAUAACGGUCCUAAGGUAGCGAAAUUCCUUGUCGGGUAAGUUCCGACCUGCACGAAUGGCGUAAUGAUGGCCAGGCUGUCUCCACCCGAGACUCAGUGAAAUUGAACUCGCUGUGAAGAUGCAGUGUACCCGCGGCAAGACGGAAAGACCCCGUGAACCUUUACUAUAGCUUGACACUGAACAUUGAGCCUUGAUGUGUAGGAUAGGUGGGAGGCUUUGAAGUGUGGACGCCAGUCUGCAUGGAGCCGGCCUUGAAAUACCACCCUUUAAUGUUUGAUGUUCUAACGUGGACCCGUGAUCCGGGUUGCGGACAGUGUCUGGUGGGUAGUUUGACUGGGGCGGUCUCCUCCUAAAGAGUAACGGAGGAGCACGAAGGUUGGCUAAUCCUGGUCGGACAUCAGGAGGUUAGUGCAAUGGCAUAAGCCAGCUUGACUGCGAGCGUGACGGCGCGAGCAGGUGCGAAAGCAGGUCAUAGUGAUCCGGUGGUUCUGAAUGGAAGGGCCAUCGCUCAACGGAUAAAAGGUACUCCGGGGAUAACAGGCUGAUACCGCCCAAGAGUUCAUAUCGACGGCGGUGUUUGGCACCUCGAUGUCGGCUCAUCACAUCCUGGGGCUGAAGUAGGUCCCAAGGGUAUGGCUGUUCGCCAUUUAAAGUGGUACGCGAGCUGGGUUUAGAACGUCGUGAGACAGUUCGGUCCCUAUCUGCCGUGGGCGCUGGAGAACUGAGGGGGGCUGCUCCUAGUACGAGAGGACCGGAGUGGACGCAUCACUGGUGUUCGGGUUGUCAUGCCAAUGGCACUGCCCGGUAGCUAAAUGCGGAAGAGAUAAGUGCUGAAAGCAUCUAAGCACGAAACUUGCCCCGAGAUGAGUUCUCCCUGACCCUUUAAGGGUCCUGAAGGAACGUUGAAGACGACGACGUUGAUAGGCCGGGUGUGUAAGCGCAGCGAUGCGUUGAGCUAACCGGUACUAAUGAACCGUGAGGCUUAACCUU